This 284-nucleotide unclassified non-coding RNA is filed under the name uncultured Cortinarius. RNAcentral describes it as "sequence contains ITS2". The stretch from base 1 to 52 matches the Rfam family "5.8S ribosomal RNA", at positions 103 to 154 of the family's 154-position model. Lineage: Eukaryota; Fungi; Basidiomycota; Agaricomycetes; Agaricales; Cortinariaceae. The record is from RNAcentral.
AACGCACCUUGCGCUCCUUGGUAUUCCGAGGAGCAUGCCUGUUUGAGUGUCAUUAAUAUAUAUAUCAAACCUUCUCUUUGUUGAGCGGUUUUGGAUGUGGGGGUUUGCUGGCCUCUUAAAAAGGUUCAGCUCCUCUGAAAUGCAUUAGCAGAACAAACCUGUUCAUUGGUGUGAUAACUAUCUACGCUAUUGAAUGUAAGGGGCAGUUCAGCUCUCUAAUGGUCCUCGGACAAUUCAUCCAUUAAUGUGACCUCAAAUCAGGUAGGACUACCCGCUGAACUUAA